This 375-nucleotide ribosomal RNA is filed under the name uncultured organism. RNAcentral describes it as "bacterial SSU rRNA". It matches the Rfam family "Archaeal small subunit ribosomal RNA", at positions 476 to 851 of the family's 1478-position model. The record is from RNAcentral.
CCAGCACCCCGAGUGGUCGGGACGAUUAUUGGGCCUAAAGCAUCCGUAGCCGGUUUUACAAGUCCUCCGUUAAAUCCAACUGCUUAACAGAUGGGCCGCGGAGGAUACUAUAAGACUAGGAGGCAGGAGAGGCAAGCGGUACUCAGUGGGUAGGGGUAAAAUCCGUUGAUCCAUUGAAGACCACCAGUGGCGGAGGCGGCUUGCCAGAAUGCGCUCGACGGUGAGGGAUGAAAGCUGGGGGAGCAAACCGGAUUAGAUACCCGGGUAGUCCCAGCUGUAACCGAUGCAGACUCGGUGAUGGACUAGCUUUAUGCUAGUCCAGUGCCGCAGGGAAGCCGUUAAGUCUGCCGCCUGGGUAGUACGGUCGCAAGACUG